AUGGAUACUUAUAGUAAUCUACCAAUUGGAUCUUCUGGGAGGGACAAAAACAAUGUGCAUUAUAGAUGUUCACCUCACCAACUUCCGCCAUUUAUGAAAUGUCUUAGUGACAAGCAGAUAGGUUUUGUCAGGAAAAUUGGGUUUGAGAGCAUCUUGUCAAUGCAAGAUUUUAAGAUGGAUAAAGAUCUAACCCUAUGGCUGGUUGAUAAGUUCAAUUGUGACACCGAGGAGCUAGAAUUUGACGAAGGCAUAUCAAUUCCAGUGAGGCCCCUUGUGAAGUUUGUCCUUGGAAUUCCUUCAGGACCCAUCAAAGUUAUAGAGGGUCUCCAUGUCGACGAUGCUCUCUACGAACAGUACACUUGGGAUACGAGAGGGAAGAAGGCGAAGGAAGUGGCGGAAGAAAUGUGCAGCAUAACAGAGGAGGAACCGUUCUGCAUAGCCUUUAUGAUGGCGAUACUUGCAAUUUAUCUAGCACCAAAUACAUCUGUGAGUGUCAGCAGGUCAUUUCUAGGAGCUGCUCGACAGGUUGGUAAUCUCAAACAGAUGGAUUGGUGCAAUUUGGUUGCUGAUUGCCUAUUCAAAGGAAUCAAGGAUUACAAACAAUCGGAUAGAUUGUGUGUCCAUGUGAAGGGCUCUGUGCACAUUCUGAGUGUCAUUUUCAUCGAUCUUGCAAAACACCCUACACUCAUAGUUCCUGAUGGCUUUCCACGCUUGAGUGUUGUCACUACGGAAAUGGGUUGCUUCACAUCCAAAUGGGUAGUUGCACAUCCCUUUGGUAGCUUCGUGCCGGUACGCUGUCUAGAAGAGUCUGUCUAUGCUCCGGUGCUUAAUAACAUGCCAAAUGGUAACACUGUUGAAGGAGUAAAAUGCUCUGAUUCUGAUUCAAAUACUGAUGCUCUGGCCGAUCAGUUUGCAAUCACCGACACCGAUCAGAAUAACAACAAGCAUCCCAUUUUAGCAGAGCUUGGCAAUGCCAGAACAACCCAUAAUACAUCAAGCUCGCCCAUUGUUGAACAUGUAGUGUUAGAUACACCAGCUCGAGCAUCAGUUGCAGCGCCCAGUUCUUUGACAGAACACAUAAUUUUUCCAACAAGUGGCGAGCAAUUGCAGUCUGCUGGUCCUUCUGAUGAACCGCAUUCGGCACAAAUUAUGGGCAGUGUGCAGGUUCCUCCGGAUACCACUGUGGAAAGGCGCAGGGGUUUGCUGUUGACGAUGGAGAAGGACGAUCGGAGCACCAAGAAGGCACGGGUGGAGCUAUCCGGGAGUGGCCAGGUGAAGCAAGCCGAAGAAGUUACCAUAAAGAUGGACAUGAGUUUGCUUAAUUGCAGCGUGUGCUCCCGCCCCAUCAAGCCCCCUGUCUUCGAGUGCAAUGCCGGGCACUUGGCUUGCUACAAAUGCCUCAUCGGGCUCCCCUAUAAACUGUGCCAGACGUGUGAGCACAGCAGUGGCUUUGGACACAUCCGGUCAUUGGACGCCAUCGUCUCCUCCUUGACAGUCAAGUGCCACCAUGAUGGCUGCGGGAGCUACGUCCCCUACUACGAGCUCGACGACCAUCAAAGUGUGUGCCCGCACGUGCCGUGCUUCUGCACGGAGCUUGGCUGUGGCUUCGUCGGUGCACCACAGGCGCUCCUCGGCCACUUGAUCGCCCUGCACGCAAUGCCAGUGCACAAGGUCCAUUAUGGCCAAGUUCACCAGCUCCGGCUGUCGGUGACGCGGCCGCGGUGCCUGCUCCAUGGGCAAGGGGACGACAGCGUGUUCCUCCUGGUCAUGGGCGUGUUCGGCGUCGUGUCUGUGGUGUGCAUCAGAGCUGAGGCAUCCUCAUGGCCGCAGUACGCUGUCAAGCUUCAGGCAAAUGGUCCGCCACCACCAAGCAGCGUAGAAGGCAGCAUUUUGUUGGCCAUGAAGCCAGUGACGAGCAGCACGAGGCCUGGGGAGGUGGCCGUGGAGGAGCUGCCGUCUUUCUUGAUGGUGCCGCCUACUUAUCUGGUUGGUUCUGGGGCAUCCAAGGAGGUGUCUCUUGACGUUCGCAUUGACAAGAUGUGA
RNAcentral lists this ribosomal RNA (2043 nucleotides) under Triticum aestivum (bread wheat). Its description in RNAcentral is "partial small subunit ribosomal RNA". Lineage: Eukaryota; Viridiplantae; Streptophyta; Magnoliopsida; Poales; Poaceae. The record is from RNAcentral.